Molecule: ribosomal RNA, 700 nt
Filed under: uncultured bacterium
Lineage: Bacteria
Description: bacterial SSU rRNA
Rfam family: Bacterial small subunit ribosomal RNA
Source: RNAcentral
AGUGGCGGACGGGUGAGUAACACGUGGGAACGUGCCCUUUGGUACGGAAUAACUCAGGGAAACUUGAGCUAAUACCGUAUGUGCCCUUCGGGGGAAAGAUUUAUCGCCAUUGGAGCGGCCCGCGUCUGAUUAGCUAGUUGGUGAGGUAAUGGCUCACCAAGGCGACGAUCAGUAGCUGGUCUGAGAGGAUGACCAGUCACAUUGGGACUGAGACACGGCCCAAACUCCUACGGGAGGCAGCAGUGGGGAAUCUUGCGCAAUGGGCGAAAGCCUGACGCAGCCAUGCCGCGUGGAUGAUGAAGGUCUUAGGAUUGUAAAAUCCUUUCACCGGGGACGAUAAUGACGGUACCCGGAGAAGAAGCCCCGGCUAACUUCGUGCCAGCAGCCGCGGUAAUACGAAGGGGGCUAGCGUUGCUCGGAAUUACUGGGCGUAAAGGGCGCGUAGGCGGACAUUUAAGUCGGGGGUGAAAUCCCAGGGCUCAACCCUGGAACUGCCUUCGAUACUGGAUGUCUUGAGUGCGGGAGAGGUGUGUGGAACUCCGAGUGUAGAGGUGAAAUUCGUAGAUAUUCGGAAGAACACCAGUGGCGAAGGCGACACACUGGCCCGUUACUGACGCUGAGGCGCGAAAGCGUGGGGAGCAAACAGGAUUAGAUACCCUGGUAGUCCACGCCGUAAACGAUGAUUGCUAGUUGUCGGAGU